Molecule: ribosomal RNA, 157 nt
Filed under: Siganus canaliculatus (white-spotted rabbitfish)
Lineage: Eukaryota; Metazoa; Chordata; Actinopteri; Siganidae
Description: partial 28S ribosomal RNA
Source: RNAcentral
UUUUAACUACAACCCCAAAUAAAAAAAAACACCCCGUUGAUUUAACCAAAUAACUAAGGGAGGGAAAAAAACUAACAGGGAUCCCUUAAUAAGGGGCAAGCAAGCCAAAUAACUAAGGGAGGGAAAAAAACUAACAGGGAUCCCUUAAUAAGGGGCA